UACGAGGGGGGCUAGCGUUGCUCGGAAUUACUGGGCGUAAAGCGCACGUAGGCGGAUCUUUAAGUCAGGGGUGAAAUCCUGGAGCUCAACUCCAGAACUGCCUUUGAUACUGAGGACCUUGAGUUCGGGAGAGGUGAGUGGAACUGCGAGUGUAGAGGUGAAAUUCGUAGAUAUUCGCAAGAACACCAGUGGCGAAGGCGGCUCACUGGCCCGAUACUGACGCUGAGGUGCGAAAGCGUGGGGAGCAAACAGG
Molecule: ribosomal RNA, 253 nt
Filed under: uncultured bacterium
Lineage: Bacteria
Description: partial 16S ribosomal RNA
Rfam family: Bacterial small subunit ribosomal RNA
Source: RNAcentral